Amblyraja radiata (thorny skate) is the source of this 108-nucleotide long non-coding RNA. RefSeq lists it as uncharacterized. The record is from RefSeq and is a predicted model, not a curated record. The transcript is spliced from 3 exons. NCBI's taxonomy places the organism in Eukaryota, Metazoa, Chordata, Chondrichthyes, Rajiformes, Rajidae.
CCAGCACUUUGUAAAACAUCAGCUAUCCAUCUUCUCCGGAAAUACUCCCUGACCCGUUGAGUUACUCCAGCACUUUGUGUCAUUUUCUUUUGUAAACCUGCACCUGCA